GACGAACGCUGGCGGCGUGCUUAACACAUGCAAGUCGAACGGAAAGGCCCUGCUUUUGUGGGGUGCUCGAGUGGCGAACGGGUGAGUAACACGUGAGUAACCUGCCCUUGACUUUGGGAUAACUUCAGGAAACUGGGGCUAAUACCGGAUAGGAGCUCCUGCUGCAUGGUGGGGGUUGGAAAGUUUCGGCGGUUGGGGAUGGACUCGCGGCUUAUCAGCUUGUUGGUGGGGUAGUGGCUUACCAAGGCUUUGACGGGUAGCCGGCCUGAGAGGGUGACCGGCCACAUUGGGACUGGAAUACGGCCCAGACCCCUCCGGGGGGCAGAAGGGGGGAAUAUUGCACAAUGGGCGGAAGCCUGAUGCAGCAACGCCGGGUGCGGGAUGCCGGCCUUCGGGUUGUAAACCGCUUUCCCCUGGGACGAAGCGUGAGUGACGGUAAUGGGUAAAGAAGCACCGGCUAACUACUU
This 467-nucleotide ribosomal RNA is filed under the name uncultured bacterium. Its description in RNAcentral is "partial 16S ribosomal RNA". It matches the Rfam family "Bacterial small subunit ribosomal RNA", at positions 28 to 506 of the family's 1533-position model. The record is from RNAcentral.